AGAUAAUUUUGAGAUUUUGGUAGUAAUCAAGUGUUCCUUCCGAUGAACUCGUUCAAGUUUACCACGUGUUCCAUUUCUACAUGAUUUUUAUUAUAACGUGAGCGGAAUCGAUCGAAUCACAGAGAACUCAUCCAUCUGCAAGGUUCCUCAUACGGACUUCUUAACUCAGUAAAAUCUGUCCAAAAUGAAACCUGAAUCUGCUUAUACGGAAGAAAUUCUUUGAAACGAUGCGAUUUACGUGUUAAAACAAGAAAAAAAAACCUGUUAAAGACGGAAACCUGCCAAAACAAGAAAAUAUUCGAGGGAUAUUUCCUGUGUAGGAACGUGUAUAAAAUCCUUCUCUAGGGAUAUGAUUUGCUCUACAGAGGGAUAUAUGUCUGGUUUCUAAUCUCAGGAGUAUUGUGAUGAAGUCUUACAGUGGAGUCUCCAUUAAGGAAUCAAAAUUUUCUAGUGACCUUUAACCUAUAUAAACGACUGUAUUGAAUUUAAA
This is a long non-coding RNA of Centruroides sculpturatus (bark scorpion), 490 nucleotides long. RefSeq lists it as uncharacterized. Lineage: Eukaryota; Metazoa; Arthropoda; Arachnida; Scorpiones; Buthidae. The record is from RefSeq and is a predicted model, not a curated record. The transcript is spliced from 4 exons.